RNAcentral lists this ribosomal RNA (252 nucleotides) under uncultured bacterium. RNAcentral describes it as "partial 16S ribosomal RNA". It matches the Rfam family "Bacterial small subunit ribosomal RNA", at positions 524 to 776 of the family's 1533-position model. The record is from RNAcentral.
UACGUAGGUCCCGAGCGUUGUCCGGAUUUAUUGGAUGUAAAGCGAGCGCAGGUGGUUUAUUAAGUCUGGUGUAAAAGGCAGUGGCUCAACCAUUGUAUGCAUUGGAAACUGGUAGACUUGAGUGCAGGAGAGGAGAGUGGAAUUCCAUGUGUAGCGGUGAAAUGCGUAGAUAUAUGGAGGAACACCGGUGGCGAAAGCGGCUCUCUGGCCUGUAACUGACACUGAGGCUCGAAAGCGUGGGGAGCAAACAGG